RNAcentral lists this ribosomal RNA (253 nucleotides) under uncultured bacterium. RNAcentral describes it as "partial 16S ribosomal RNA". It matches the Rfam family "Bacterial small subunit ribosomal RNA", at positions 524 to 776 of the family's 1533-position model. The record is from RNAcentral.
UACGUAGGGGGCAAGCGUUGUCCGGAUUUACUGGGCGUAAAGAGCGCGCAGGCGGUCGUUUAAGUCGAAUGUGAAAGCCCCCGGCUCAACUGGGGAGGGUCAUUCGAUACUGAUCGACUUGAAGGCAGGAGAGGGAAGUGGAAUUCCGGGUGUAGUGGUGAAAUGCGUAGAUAUCCGGAGGAACACCAGUGGCGAAGGCGACUUCCUGGCCUGUUCUUGACGCUGAGGCGCGAAAGCUGGGGGAGCAAACGGG